RNAcentral lists this transfer RNA (72 nucleotides) under Varicospira cancellata. RNAcentral's name for it is "tRNA-Thr". It matches the Rfam family "tRNA". From Rfam's summary of the family: Transfer RNA (tRNA) molecules are approximately 80 nucleotides in length. Their secondary structure includes four short double-helical elements and three loops (D, anti-codon, and T loops). The record is from RNAcentral. Lineage: Eukaryota; Metazoa; Mollusca; Gastropoda; Littorinimorpha; Rostellariidae.
GUAAUAGUAACUUAAUAUAGAGUGUUGGUCUUGUAAGCCAAAAGUGGAUUAAAAGUAUGUAUCCCUAUUACU